Molecule: long non-coding RNA, 708 nt
Filed under: Homo sapiens (human)
Lineage: Eukaryota; Metazoa; Chordata; Mammalia; Primates; Hominidae
Description: non-protein coding lnc-PTGS1-1:3
Source: RNAcentral
UAGGAAGUUCAUUCCAGUUCUGCAAGGUGUCUGCUUUCAGAAUGGAGCCCACUUUGGUGGUGGCAAGGCCUGGCUGAGUUCUUUCAAAGCAACAUCCAACUUCUCUUUGCUCUUUGACUUCCUCCAGAUUCUCUCCUGUGCUGGAGGUAAUAAGGGUUGCACUUCCCUCUUUACUUACACUGGUGAAACAUGCAGUGAGGAUUCAAGGUCAAAAUUGGGUCAAAGUUAAACUAACACAGUCUCCUGCCCCACUUACCUGUCCUCUAACCCCAUCCACCAGCCCUAAGUGGUCAUCACAUGAUCAGAAGUCAGCUGGGGGAAGAGCAGGGAUAGAUAGAGCAAUUAAGGAGCCUCUUUUGGGGUAAGCCACAUGACAGGGGCUUUGCAACAGUCUUUCAUGAGUGGCCGAAAUCCCCCACUCACUGCAAAUGUGCUUCUCAAAGAUGCAGGAUUUUUUAAUAAACAGAGGAAAUGAUAAAUUAUGUUGUAAUUCCACUCCAAAGGCAUUUGGUUCUUAACAGCCAAAUCCUCUGUAGUCUUUAAAUAAACAAAAACUUAUUUGGUGAACAGACAGGGAGGAAAAUGAAAGAUUUUCUGUACUUGGGUUCCACAUGUCAACAAUUUCUCUCCUGUGUGUAUGUUGGCCAAAGCUGUAUCAUGAUAAAUGAAUAAAGGAAAACCUCGAGCCCAGGGCAGUCAGACAGCUCA